Long non-coding RNA from Chenopodium quinoa (quinoa), 1359 nucleotides. RefSeq lists it as uncharacterized. NCBI's taxonomy places the organism in Eukaryota, Viridiplantae, Streptophyta, Magnoliopsida, Caryophyllales, Amaranthaceae. The transcript has 5 exons. The record is from RefSeq and is a predicted model, not a curated record.
UAAAAGUAUUCCUAUUUCUUAGCCUAAUUUCCCACCAAACUACUAGUACUAGAAUACUAGUCUACUACUCACAAUAACCCACGACUUCACUUCCCUCCACUUCAUAAUUUUUUUUUUGUUUUGCCGCUAGAUACCACAGCCCUCAACCACAAUUUCCCCAAAUUGAGUUCCCUUCAAUCCAAAUCCAAAUCCAAAUCCCAAUUUUCCUAAAGUAAUUAAAGAGUUCCCUUCAGCCCAAUUAAUUAUUGAGCAGUUCCUCUUCUCCGGCAAAUUGUGGGCAGUUGAAUAAUUCUUCUAUUUUGCAAAUUGCGUGCUUCCAUUGUCUUCUCAUCUGGUGUUUGCGGGAUUUAUUGAUUGAAAUUAUCAAUUGUUAAUGGAUUCUUUACAUAUCAAUCAUGAGCAUGGUGAUGAUGAAAAUAAUGAUGCAAAUGGUCAUCCUACUUAUAAAGAGCACUCUUUGGUUUUUGAAGUGAAAAAGGAUUGUUAAAGAAGAUUAAAAUGAGCACCAAGUGGGUGCAGAUACAAUUCCCACGACAAAAUAAUGGCAUUGAUUGCGGAUAUUACGUUAUGAGAUUUAUGAAAGAGAUCAUUGACCAUAAGAAAACCCAAAUUUUUGAACAUUACUUUCGUGAUUGCAAUGUCUCAAGGUAUGAUCAAGACCAUAUUGAUGAAAUCAGAACUCAAUGGGCACGUCAUGUUCUUCUCAUGUGAAUAUUUGGUUGAUUCACCAUGUAUUUUAAUUUGUAAUAGGCCACAAAUUUUUAAUUUAACAAUGUUGUAGUCAUUUAAAUUAGGGUAUGUAAAUUUUUGAAUUGACAUAUACCGUACUGUACUUUUUUCUCUUUCCUAGAGUGUUACCAAAGAUGACUAUUAAUAUUAUUUGUAUUUUAUGAGACAUUAAGACAUUUAUUUCAUUUGGGAAACUAAAUUUAGUUCUGUUAUAGAUCUUAGUUAGUUUGUACUGAUUCGUUUAGCUACAUAUUUAUUAAUAAUUAUAAUUAAUGCAUUAUAUAGAUUUUGAAUUUAAAAUAUUUAACAGCGCUUUCUAAUAAAUGCUAUUUUUUAAUUCAAAAUAAAUUAAUUGUGAAUAUCAUCAACCUUCCCACCAUUUUUAUUGAUUUAAUAGCGUUUUAUAUUCAAUGCUGCUAAAUUUAAUACUAUUAAUGGCGCUUAACUUAAAAAAAUAAAAUCUUUCCUCCGUCAUCGAGUACACGCGCCAUUUCAGCAUUCGUUGCGACAAAAUGGAGCUAAAAUCAAAAAAAAUUUGCCAGUUCAGCAUCCAGAGUCCACCGUGGCUCGAGAAUUUCCACCGUGUCACGGCAGAGUCCACCGUGGCACGGUGGAAUUGCAUCAAAAAAA